AUUGAACGCUGGCGGCAUGCUUUACACAUGCAAGUCGAACGGUAACAGGGUGCUUGCACCGCUGACGAGUGGCGAACGGGUGAGUAAUGCGUCGGAACGUGCCGAGUAGUGGGGGAUAACGCAGCGAAAGUUGUGCUAAUACCGCAUACGUACUGAGGUAGAAAGUGGGGGACCUUCGGGCCUCACGCUAUUCGAGCGGCCGACGUCUGAUUAGCUAGUAGGUGAGGUAAAGGCUCACCUAGGCGACGAUCAGCAGCGGGUCUGAGAGGAUGAUCCGCCACACUGGGACUGAGACACGGCCCAGACUCCUACGGGAGGCAGCAGUGGGGAAUUUUGGACAAUGGGCGAAAGCCUGAUCCAGCCAUGCCGCGUGUCUGAAGAAGGCCUUCGAGUUGUAAAGGACUUUUGUCAGGGAGGAAAUCCCUAGUGCUAAUAACACUGGGGGAUGACAGUACCUGAAGAAUAAGCACCGGCUAACUACGUGCCAGCCGCCGCAGUAA
This 500-nucleotide ribosomal RNA is filed under the name uncultured bacterium. RNAcentral's name for it is "partial 16S ribosomal RNA". It matches the Rfam family "Bacterial small subunit ribosomal RNA", at positions 30 to 523 of the family's 1533-position model. The record is from RNAcentral.